Molecule: long non-coding RNA, 645 nt
Filed under: Pan troglodytes (chimpanzee)
Lineage: Eukaryota; Metazoa; Chordata; Mammalia; Primates; Hominidae
Description: long non-coding RNA NONPTRT018515
Source: RNAcentral
AUCUUCUACGCCUGCUUGGCCGGAGGCCUCAUCCUGGCCUACACCCGCUCCCACAGCCCUGACAGCACGCUCCAGCCCUCUGGGAACUGAAUCCAACACGUCCAACACUUGGCACUGAACUGAAGCAAUGCAUUCUAUCAGAACUCUGGGCCGUCUAACUGGCAGCUGCUCCAGGGGCUGCCAGGGACUGCUCACUCUGCAGAGCCAACGGGCUUGCCAGGCCGACUGCAGCAGCUCCAGCUUCCAGUUGCCUUAGGGACAGAGACAAAGGAAAUGAAGAGACCUCAGACAUCUUUUCCCUCCCUCUCUCUUUCAGCAGGGAGCUAGCAGGACACUAGGACCAGUCUGUGGGAUAGAAUGAACUUAAUGGGGGACGGAAGGGGGAGGAGUGCUCAACGGGGAGGGAAAUGAUCUAUGACUCCAACUGUAUGGUUUUCUUGCCUCCCCAGUUUUCAUCCCAGUGGUAACGCCUGAUUUUUGGUAGCUAUGCCAUCUUCUGCUGAGGAUUACCAUUACUGGGUGUAUCACCCCAGUACUUCCAAAUGCCUCUCCUCUAUUGAUUCAGUUGUUAUUGAAGUGUCUGCUUCAUCCGUGGAACUUGAGGCUCAGAUGCCCCCUGCUCUGUAACCCUGGGGAAUGUCAGAG